GACGAACGCUGGCGGCGCGCUUAACACAUGCAAGUCGAACGGAAAGGCCCUGCUUUUGUGGGGUGCUCGAGUGGCGAACGGGUGAGUAACACGUGAGUAACCUGCCCUUGACUUUGGGAUAACUUCAGGAAACUGGGGCUAAUACCGGAUAGGAGCUCCUUCUGCAUGGUGGGGGUUGGAAAGUUUCGGCGGUUGGGGAUGGACUCGCGGCUUAUCAGCUUGUUGGUGGGGUAGUGGCUUACCAAGGCUUUGACGGGUAGCCGGCCUGAGAGGGUGACCGGCCACAUUGGGACUGAGAUACGGCCCAGACUCCUACGGGAGGCAGCAGUGGGGAAUAUUGCACAAUGGGCGGAAGCCUGAUGCAGCAACGCCGCGUGCGGGAUGACGGCCUUCGGGUUGUAAACCGCUUUCGCCUGUGACGAAGCGUGAGUGACGGUAAUGGGUAAAGAAGCACCGGCUAACUACGUG
Molecule: ribosomal RNA, 468 nt
Filed under: uncultured bacterium
Lineage: Bacteria
Description: partial 16S ribosomal RNA
Rfam family: Bacterial small subunit ribosomal RNA
Source: RNAcentral